This 378-nucleotide ribosomal RNA is filed under the name uncultured bacterium. Its description in RNAcentral is "bacterial SSU rRNA". It matches the Rfam family "Bacterial small subunit ribosomal RNA", at positions 521 to 896 of the family's 1533-position model. The record is from RNAcentral.
UAAGACGUAGGGGGCGAGCGUUGUCCGGAUUCAUUGGGCGUAAAGAGCGCGUAGGCGGUUCGGAAAGUCGGAUGUGAAAACUCGGAGCUCAACUCCGGGCCUGCAUCCGAUACUCUCGGACUAGAGGUAGGUAGGGGAGAUCGGAAUUCCUGGUGUAGCGGUGAAAUGCGCAGAUAUCAGGAGGAACACCGGUGGCGAAGGCGGAUCUCUGGGCCUUACCUGACGCUCAGGCGCGAAAGCUAGGGGAGCGAACAGGAUUAGAUACCCUGGUAGUCCUAGCCGUAAACGUUGGGUGCUAGGUGUGGGCGGACAUCGACCCCGUCCGUGCCGAAGCUAACGCAUUAAGCACCCCGCCUGGGGAGUACGGCCGCAAGGCUA